AUUGUUGACAGUCCUGGGCUGCGAUGCUCUCUUUUCACUGCAAGGGACUUUAGAAAAAAAUCACCUUGGUCAAAGAUUUCAAUCCAAACCGAGAGAAAAUGCUUUUGUUUGCCUUGGGGGUGCUCAACAAAAAUGCUUCGGAGAGGAUGUCUGGAUGUCAAGUCCAAAGACUGAAUCCUACGGAAACAAAUUACUGGUCUUCGGUGUCAACACGAGAAUAUCAAAUGCAAGUGGAGGAAAAUUGUAUUGGAUUGUGGAGGUGAUGGCAAAUCAAUGACACGGAAAAUCUAUGGAGAGCAGUUCAUAGUGACACAAGAAAGCAGUGUCCGCAUAAAUCAGGGGAGACCAAUGGACACUGAAAGGGAAUUUCCAUGCAAGAUUAAGUGGACAUUGUUAUCGUGUCAGGACUGUGUGAAAUAAGUGCGAAAUGAGGACGAUACUGGGAUACCAACACUUAGACCAAGCAAUGUCAACAGAAAUUACUCUCUCAUUAAAGGAAAACAAAAGGCUAAUGGCCUAGCUCAGUUACAACCUCUGUCAGCAGCAGUAGCAGCUGCUGGGGUAGCUGAUGGGUCAGGGCAAUGGAUCAGGGCCCUGCUGCGUUUGGUGCUAAGCAAAUACGUGCCUACACUGUAGUCCUGGCCUGAAAGCUGACAAGGAUGUGCAAGAGAUGUCCGUAAAGGCGACAUGGCAGCAUAUGAAGAGCUUGCAUGUACCCCGAGCUCCUGCCUGACAAGCAGGGGUGGAAUAAGCCCUGCUGCAAGUGCUGCUGUUCUGGAAACACCUCCCCAGCAAGGCAGGCCUUCAGCCCACCCAGCAGAGCUGGGCCUCAGGGAAGGCUGCGGGAAUUUUACCACCAGUUUGGUGGUAAAUGGGAUCAGGCCUCAUAUCCACAAAGCAGUGCAGUUUUGGUGGCUGUUGUUCAUAGACACCCUGACAAAGCAGGAGGAGAUAUGGAGAGGAACUACAACAUGGAGAGGAACUACAUGA
Molecule: long non-coding RNA, 990 nt
Filed under: Anas platyrhynchos platyrhynchos (common mallard)
Lineage: Eukaryota; Metazoa; Chordata; Aves; Anseriformes; Anatidae
Description: lncRNA (ENSAPLG00000017080.1)
Source: RNAcentral